CCCUAGUAACUGCGAGUGAAGCGGGAAAAGCUCAAAUUUAAAAUCUGGUGGUCUUAGACUAUCCGAGUUGUAAUCUAGAGAAGUGUUAUCCGUGUUGGACCGUGUACAAGUCUCCUGGAAUGGAGCGUCAUAGAGGGUGAGAAUCCCGUCUUUGACACGGACUACCAAUGCAUUGUGAUGCGCUCUCAAAGAGUCGAGUUGUUUGGGAAUGCAGCUCAAAAUGGGAGGUAAAUUCCUUCUAAAGCUAAAUAUUGGCGAGAGACCGAUAGCGAACAAGUACCGUGAGGGAAAGAUGAAAAGAACUUUGGAAAGAGAGUUAAACAGUACGUGAAAUUGCUGAAAGGGAAACGCUUGAAGUCAGUCGCAUUAUCCAGGAAUCAACCUUGCUUUUGCUGGGUGUACUUUCUGGUUGAUGGGUCAGCAUCAAUUUUGACCGUUGGAUAAAGGUUAGGGGAAUGUGGCAUCUUCGGAUGUGUUAUAGCCUCUGGUCGCAUACAACGGUUGGGAUUGAGGAACUCAGCACGCCGCAAGGCCGAGUAUUUAUACUACGUUCGUGCUUAGGAUGCUGGCAUAAUGGCUUUAAUCGACCCGUCUUGAAACACGGACCAAGGAGUCUAACAUGCCUGCGAGUGUUUGGGUGGAAAACCCGAGCGCGUAAUGAAAGUGAAAGUUGAGAUCCCUGUCGCGGGGAGCAUCGACGCCCGGACUUGACCUUUUGUGACGGAUCCGCGGUAGAGCAUGUAUGUUGGGACCCGAAAGAUGGUGAACUAUGCCUGAAUAGGGUGAAGCCAGAGGAAACUCUGGUGGAGGCUCGUAGCGAUUCUGACGUGCAAAUCGAUCGUCAAAUUUGGGUAUAGGGGCGAAAGACUAAUCGAACCAUCUAGUAGCUGG
This 891-nucleotide ribosomal RNA is filed under the name Galerina clavata. RNAcentral's name for it is "partial large subunit ribosomal RNA". It matches the Rfam family "Eukaryotic large subunit ribosomal RNA", at positions 78 to 954 of the family's 3401-position model. The record is from RNAcentral. Lineage: Eukaryota; Fungi; Basidiomycota; Agaricomycetes; Agaricales; Galerinaceae.